Molecule: ribosomal RNA, 514 nt
Filed under: uncultured bacterium
Lineage: Bacteria
Description: bacterial SSU rRNA
Rfam family: Bacterial small subunit ribosomal RNA
Source: RNAcentral
GACGAACGCUGGCGGCGUGGAUUAGGCAUGCAAGUCGAACGGUAUCAUCCUUUCGGGGGUGAGAGAGUGGCGAACUGGUGAGUAACACGUAGGUUAUCUACCCUCAAGACGGGGACAACCCAGGGAAACUUGGGCUAAUACCGGAUGUGAGCAACUUUUAGUUGUUUGAAAGGUGGCGUAAGCUGUCGCUUGGGGAUGAGCCUGCGUCCUAUUAGUUAGUUGGUGAGGUAACGGCUCACCUAGGCAAUGAUAGGUAGGCGGCCUUAACGGGUGGUCGCCCACACUGGGAUUGAGAUACGGCCCAGACUCCUACGGGAGGCAGCAGUCGAGAAUAGUCUACAAUGGUCGGAAGACUGAUAGUGCGACGCCGCGUGAACGAUGAAUCCCUUCGGGGUGUAAAGUUCUUUUAUAUGUGAGCAGUGCUUCUUAUAUUAACAGUAUGGGGAGAGAGAUAUUAGCAUAUGAAUAAGCAAACGGCUAAACUCCGUGCCCAGCAAGCCGCGGUAAAUCUUCG